AACGAACGCUGGCGGCAGGCCUAACACAUGCAAGUCGAGCGCCCUUUCGGGGGAGCGGCGGACGGGUGGGUAACGCGUGGGAAUAUGCCCUUCUCUACGGAAUAGCCUCGGGAAACUGAGAGUAAUACCGUAUACGCCCUUUGGGGGAAAGAUUUAUCGGGGAAGGAUUAGCCCGCGUUGGAUUAGGUAGUUGGUGGGGUAAUGGCCUACCAAGCCGACGAUCCAUAGCUGGUUUGAGAGGAUGAUCAGCCACACUGGGACUGAGACACGGCCCAGACUCCUACGGGAGGCAGCAGUGGGGAAUCUUAGACAAUGGGGGCAACCCUGAUCUAGCCAUGCCGCGUGAGUGAUGAAGGCCUUAGGGUUGUAAAGCUCUUUCAGCUGGGAAGAUAAUGACGGUACCAGCAGAAGAAGCCCCGGCUAACUCCGUG
RNAcentral lists this ribosomal RNA (431 nucleotides) under uncultured bacterium. RNAcentral's name for it is "partial 16S ribosomal RNA". It matches the Rfam family "Bacterial small subunit ribosomal RNA", at positions 29 to 507 of the family's 1533-position model. The record is from RNAcentral.